AGGGUACACUCUGAAGAAACUUGCGCCCACUUGUUUCUUUCUUUUCUCUUAUUUUCUUUUCUUUUCUCACGCAAGAAAGCUCUCUCAUGCCACCCUUUUUUCUCUGAUGUUUUCAGUGCAUGCCCUAUCUUAUCUCCCUUUUAAAAUGAUGCAAGACCAUAUCUUUGCAGCAUUUUUACCGCAUGAGAGGAUAAAGAUAAGUGGUUGCUCAUUUGAAUUCAAAUCAAAUUUGAAUUCAAAUGCCAACCAACUCAUUCCUAUCCACUCUAUGCAUGAGAAGAGAGGGGCGUGGGCUCUCUUGUGCAUGGAGAGUUUACAUGAGAAACUCUUUUUCGUGUAAAGUAAAUGGCACACAAAAGGAUAAGACUAGGUGGCUCAUGGAUUAGUUGCCCAUUCAAAUUCAAACUUCAUUUGAAUUUGAAUGGCCAACCAACCAUCUUUAUCCACCC
This 449-nucleotide long non-coding RNA is filed under the name Elaeis guineensis (African oil palm). Its description in RNAcentral is "long non-coding RNA (EGUI_LNC059502)". Lineage: Eukaryota; Viridiplantae; Streptophyta; Magnoliopsida; Arecales; Arecaceae. The record is from RNAcentral.